UACGUAGGGUGCAAGCGUUGUCCGGAUUUAUUGGGCGUAAAGAGCUCGUAGGCGGUCUGUCGCGUCGGAUGUGAAAACCCAGGGCUCAACCCUGGGCCUGCAUUCGAUACGGGCAGACUAGAGUGUGGCAGGGGAGACUGGAAUUCCUGGUGUAGCGGUGAAAUGCGCAGAUAUCAGGAGGAACACCGGUAGCGAAGGCGGGUCUCUGGGCCAAUACUGACGCUGAGGAGCGAAAGCGUGGGGAGCGAACAGG
RNAcentral lists this ribosomal RNA (253 nucleotides) under uncultured bacterium. RNAcentral describes it as "partial 16S ribosomal RNA". It matches the Rfam family "Bacterial small subunit ribosomal RNA", at positions 524 to 776 of the family's 1533-position model. The record is from RNAcentral.